This is a microRNA precursor of Balaenoptera musculus (blue whale), 67 nucleotides long. Lineage: Eukaryota; Metazoa; Chordata; Mammalia; Artiodactyla; Balaenopteridae. The record is from Ensembl.
GGUCUGGCUGUUGUGGUGUGCAAAACUCCGUACAUUGCUAUUUUGCCACACUGCAACACCUUACAGA